CAAAAUCCAAAUCCUCCAGGAGGGGUCGGAAAAAUAAUGGCUGGCAGGUCUAUGUGGCGCGCCACAACCAAGCUGUUAGUGGCCACCACCACCCUUGGUGGUGGAGCAGCGGCGGCCACAAUUGCCAGCUCCGACGACCCAGCCAUGGCCCUUAAGCUUUGCACAAAUGUCCCUCUCCGUCUCUAUCGCGAUUCCGUCACUGCUGCCACCAUUGCCUUCGAUUAUGAAUAUUCACUCUGGGGACUGCCAGAAGGUAGUGCAGAGAGAGCAAAAGCCAAACAUGAAGUUCACAUGAGGGGUGCACGCAGGCUAGAAGAACUUUGUUUCAGAAAUGGUGGAAUUUAUAUUAAGCUUGGUCAACAUUUAGGACAGCUGG
RNAcentral lists this unclassified non-coding RNA (376 nucleotides) under Hevea brasiliensis (rubber tree). The record is from RNAcentral. Lineage: Eukaryota; Viridiplantae; Streptophyta; Magnoliopsida; Malpighiales; Euphorbiaceae.